GCAGUCGAGCGGACAGAUGGGAGCUUGCUCCCUGAUGUUAGCGGCGGACGGGUGAGUAACACGUGGGUAACCUGCCUGUAAGACUGGGAUAACUCCGGGAAACCGGGGCUAAUACCGGAUGCUUGUUUGAACCGCAUGGUUCAAACAUAAAAGGUGGCUUCGGCUACCACUUACAGAUGGACCCGCGGCGCAUUAGCUAGUUGGUGAGGUAACGGCUCACCAAGGCAACGAUGCGUAGCCGACCUGAGAGGGUGAUCGGCCACACUGGGACUGAGACACGGCCCAAACUCCUACGGGAGGCAGCAGUAGGGAAUCUUCCGCAAUGGACGAAAGUCUGACGGAGCAACGCCGCGUGAGUGAUGAAGGUUUUCGGAUCGUAAAGCUCUGUUGUUAGGGAAGAACAAGUGCCGUUCAAAUAGGGCGGCACCUUGACGGUACCUAACCAGAAAGCCACGGCUAACUACGUGCCAGCAGCCGCGGUAAUACGUAGGUGGCAAGCGUUGUCCGGAAUUAUUGGGCGUAAAGGGCUCGCAGGCGGUUUCUUAAGUCUGAUGUGAAAGCCCCCGGCUCAACCGGGGAGGGUCAUUGGAAACUGGGGAACUUGAGUGCAGAAGAGGAGAGUGGAAUUCCACGUGUAGCGGUGAAAUGCGUAGAGAUGUGGAGGAACACCAGUGGCGAAGGCGACUCUCUGGUCUGUAACUGACGCUGAGGAGCGAAAGCGUGGGGAGCGAACAGGAUUAGAUACCCUGGUAGUCCACGCCGUAAACGAUGAGUGCUAAGUGUUAGGGGGUUUCCGCCCCUUAGUGCUGCAGCUAACGCAUUAAGCACUCCGCCUGGGGAGUACGGUCGCAAGACUGAAACUCAAAGGAAUUGACGGGGGCCCGCACAAGCGGUGGAGCAUGUGGUUUAAUUCGAAGCAACGCGAAGAACCUUACCAGGUCUUGACAUCCUCUGACAAUCCUAGAGAUAGGACGUCCCCUUCGGGGGCAGAGUGACAGGUGGUGCAUGGUUGUCGUCAGCUCGUGUCGUGAGAUGUUGGGUUAAGUCCCGCAACGAGCGCAACCCUUGAUCUUAGUUGCCAGCAUUCAGUUGGGCACUCUAAGGUGACUGCCGGUGACAAACCGGAGGAAGGUGGGGAUGACGUCAAAUCAUCAUGCCCCUUAUGACCUGGGCUACACACGUGCUACAAUGGACAGAACAAAGGGCAGCGAAACCGCGAGGUUAAGCCAAUCCCACAAAUCUGUUCUCAGUUCGGAUCGCAGUCUGCAACUCGACUGCGUGAAGCUGGAAUCGCUAGUAAUCGCGGAUCAGCAUGCCGCGGUGAAUACGUUCCCGGGCCUUGUACACACCGCCCGUCACACCACGAGAGUUUGUAACACCCGAAGUCGGUGAGGUAACCUUUAGGAGCCAGCCGCCGAAG
RNAcentral lists this ribosomal RNA (1420 nucleotides) under Bacillus vallismortis. RNAcentral describes it as "bacterial SSU rRNA". It matches the Rfam family "Bacterial small subunit ribosomal RNA". Lineage: Bacteria; Bacillati; Bacillota; Bacilli; Caryophanales; Bacillaceae. The record is from RNAcentral.